This 292-nucleotide ribosomal RNA is filed under the name uncultured bacterium. RNAcentral describes it as "partial 16S ribosomal RNA". The record is from RNAcentral.
GGACUACAGGGGUAUCUAAUCCUGUUUGCUCCCCACGCUUUCGCGCCUCAGCGUCAGUUACGGUCCAGAGAGCCGCCUUCGCCACCGGUGUUCUUCCCAAUAUCUACGAAUUUCACCUCUACACUGGGAAUUCCACUCUCCUCUCCCGUACUCAAGCCUCACAGUCCCAAGCGCAAUUCCCAGGUUAAGCCCGGGGCUUUCACGCCUGACUUGUUAGGCCGCCUACGCGCCCUUUACGCCCAGUAAUUCCGAACAACGCUCGCCCCCUUCGUAUUACCGCGGCGGCUGGCAC